Molecule: ribosomal RNA, 150 nt
Filed under: Escherichia coli
Lineage: Bacteria; Pseudomonadati; Pseudomonadota; Gammaproteobacteria; Enterobacterales; Enterobacteriaceae
Also listed under: 2 other names
Description: partial 16S ribosomal RNA
Rfam family: Bacterial small subunit ribosomal RNA
Source: RNAcentral
UUAAAUUGAAGAGUUUGAUCAUGGCUCAGAUUGAACGCUGGCGGCAGGCCUAACACAUGCAAGUCGAACGGUAACAGGAAACAGCUUGCUGUUUCGCUGACGAGUGGCGGACGGGUGAGUAAUGUCUGGGAAACUGCCUGAUGGAGGGGG